Molecule: transfer RNA, 73 nt
Filed under: Actinoplanes philippinensis
Lineage: Bacteria; Bacillati; Actinomycetota; Actinomycetes; Micromonosporales; Micromonosporaceae
Rfam family: tRNA
About the family: Transfer RNA (tRNA) molecules are approximately 80 nucleotides in length. Their secondary structure includes four short double-helical elements and three loops (D, anti-codon, and T loops).
Source: Rfam by way of RNAcentral
UCUCUCGUGGUCCAAUCGGCAGUGACGCCCGGCUCUGGACCGGGAGAUUCAGGUUCGAGUCCUGGCGAGAGAG